GAAACUGGGGCUAAUACCGGAUAGGAGCUCCUGCUGCAUGGUGGGGGUUGGAAAGUUUCGGCGGUUGGGGAUGGACUCGCGGCUUAUCAGCUUGUUGGUGGGGUAGUGGCUUACCAAGGCUUUGACGGGUAGCCGGCCUGAGAGGGUGACCGGCCACAUUGGGACUGAGAUACGGCCCAG
Molecule: ribosomal RNA, 180 nt
Filed under: uncultured Actinomycetales bacterium
Lineage: Bacteria; Bacillati; Actinomycetota; Actinomycetes; Actinomycetales
Description: partial 16S ribosomal RNA
Rfam family: Bacterial small subunit ribosomal RNA
Source: RNAcentral